AAAACAUACAUCUUUUUGUAUAUAUAUUGUAUUUUAGAUUUUUUCAGUCGGAUAUAUAUUUCUUUCAAAAUAAAUAAACUGUUAUUAAUACAAUUAUAUCAUUCUAUUCUAUAUUAUGUAUAUAGAAUAACACAUAUUUAAAAUUUCUUUUUCUUUCUCUCCCUCUCCCACAUCUCUCUCUCUCCCUCCCUCUCUCUCUUGCUCUCUCUCUCCUCCCU
RNAcentral lists this long non-coding RNA (218 nucleotides) under Brassica napus (rape). RNAcentral describes it as "long non-coding RNA (BNAP_LNC014817)". The record is from RNAcentral. Lineage: Eukaryota; Viridiplantae; Streptophyta; Magnoliopsida; Brassicales; Brassicaceae.